Molecule: ribosomal RNA, 117 nt
Filed under: Nitriliruptor sp.
Lineage: Bacteria; Bacillati; Actinomycetota; Nitriliruptoria; Nitriliruptorales; Nitriliruptoraceae
Source: RNAcentral
CUUCGUGCUCAUAGCGCGGUGGACCCACCCGAUCCCAUCCCGAACUCGGAAGUUAAGCACCGCAGCGCCGAUGAUAGUUGGGGGGCAGCCCCCUGCAAAAGUAGGUCAGCGCGAGGA